Molecule: long non-coding RNA, 5079 nt
Filed under: Homo sapiens (human)
Lineage: Eukaryota; Metazoa; Chordata; Mammalia; Primates; Hominidae
Description: HSALNT0010022
Source: RNAcentral
AUUCUUUGUUUCUCUUUUCUCUCUGAGAAUGUUAGACCUCUGAUCUAAUUCUCCACUGCUUCCUGCUCUUUGUAUCUGUUUUUAUUAUUCUCUCCCAUUAAACCAUAAGCAACUUGAGGGCAGACAAUCAGUUUUACUCCUUUUAUAUCCACCACUGGACCUAAGUGGGUGCCUGGUUCAUUUGAUGCUUAAUGAAUUAAAUUGGCAAGAACAGAUGAUACUUGUCAAUGGAUGUAUCUAUAUAAAGAAACUCCACUUUUCCAUGACAGUGGGACAAUCAAUUCUUUCUCCUCUCUCUGUCUCAUGAGAUAUACACAAGAAACAGAAAAUUGAAAAUUAUAGGGAAUUUUUUUACAGUUCUACACAUGAUGUUGCUGGAAUUCACUGGAAUUUAAUCAAAAUAAUAUACUACAACAUAUGUCAACUCAACUUCUGUGGUUGUUAAAGGAAAAGUUUAUCUCCAAGUGAGACAAAGUGCAUUUGGAAAUAUGCAGUGGUGUUUUAUUAUAAUCUACUAGUUCUCAUCUCAGUUAAGUCACUCCAUGGAGUUGGGUAAUCUACUUUCUUCCAGCUAUAAAGUCUAAUCUAUUACAAGUCAUUGAAUGUUAGAAAUAGGUCAAGUCAUGUCCAGGAAUAUGGCUGGAACAUUGGAAAAAUAGAAUACACAGGAGGUGAGCUGGAAUGGGAGGAUAUGGAAAGAGAAAUAAAAUAAGGACACAUGGAGGACAGAAAAAAAUAGGAGCCAAAAAGGAUCCUUCAGUGGAGAAUAAUACAGCUUCAUUUCUAUUUCCUUUGAUAUUUAUGAUCGAUCAAGCCUACAUUUCUUCAUACUGAGGAAGGAAGAUGUGACUUAAGACAAUAAAAGUUGCAAGUUGGCCUUUGAGUAAUGGGAAAAGUAUAUCACAUAAUUCUGUGUGAGACCAGUUCUUAGUUUUUUUCUGAGUCCAUAGAAUCACUUUAAUAAUCUGAUGAAAGCUAAUGAAUCUUUCCCCCACAAAGUGCACAAACAUCUAAAAUUUGGCCUGUGAUUUUAUUUUGAAGGUUCACAGACUCCUGCAGCCCCUCAAUUAAUUCUGUGCAAGACUACUUCUGGUAGCUAAGUUUUCUGUGUCCCUUACAUCUUAUAUUGGAAUUGAGCUUUCAGUUGCCGUUUACCCCAGAGAAGACAAGAUACAAGUGCUCCCAUCUGUGGGUAGGGGUUAUCUGGUGUCUAUGUUCUACAUUUUUGGUGCAAGCAGUUGGCCUUCCAGAAAUGGGAAUAGCUAUAAAUAGCAAAUGUUUGGCUGAGACAAUCUGAAGCAGUUUUCUCCAAAUGCUCUGUGGGCAACAUGAAUGAGGGAACCAAACCAGACACAAAUGGUUUACGUAAGUCUGUCAAGGGCAACAAGGGGGUUAGUGGUAAAGGAAGGGGAUGAAGAGGACACGCAUGAGUGCAUGAUGCCUCAGAGCCAACAUGUGGCAAUGUUACUGGAUGAUGUGGCACAUCUGUUUGCAAGCUGUGUAUGCUUCAGAAUUGAGCAAAUAGGUGUAGCAAAAGGUCAAGAACAGCAAAUAGAAUCCAUCUUCCUUACCAAUUCCAGUAGUCUGUAUUGCAGUCUGCUAUAUCAAUUUCCCCCAGUGGAUCAACUCUCCUGGUAUUGACACCAUUGUGUAACCACCUCCCCUUGAAGCUGGGCUGUUCCUCUGAUUUGCUUUAACCAGUAGAAGGUGGAAGAAGUGGAGUUGUGCCAGUUCUGGCCUAAACCUUAAGAGGUCCUGGAAGUCUGCUUUCUGCUCUUGGGAGCCCUGAGCUGCCACAGAAGAAAUCUGUUUGCUGUGCUACAGCGACCAUGUGGAGAGGCCAUGUGGAGAGGGAGGGAACCUGCGACUCCAUGAAGGAGAACUGAAGAUCCAGCCACCAAUGAGAACUGAGGAUCCAGACACAGGACCACAGGCACAAAGGCUUCUGCUCUAGAACUCCCUUCUUCUUACUCCUGAAAUGUUGGAUGAUGCUAUGGGAAACAGAUGAGUUUGUCCAGGGAACCAUGUGGAGUACGAACAGAGGGAAGGCAAGAAAGGAACUCGUCAAACGGAUCGAAGAUAAGAGAUGGAUGGGCCCGGGACAUCUUCCCCAGUGGCUCUUGUCCACGGGACACCUGGCUUGUACCCACAGAAAGUUGGCUUCCAGCCAUGCUUGAGUGAGAACAGUGAGGGCCCUUGCCUUCCUACAACAGGCUGUCUCUGACAGAAGAAUACAGUUCAUCAAAAGUGUCUGCAGGUUGUCAAACUCAGAGAGGUUUGGGGACCCUCUGAGGCUGUCGUGGUCAACAAGAAGAUUUUCUGUUGGGCUUUUCCAUCACUCACCCUGAGGAAAUAAUCACUCACUACAUUCUGCAUGUUCUCAUGAUAGAGUUCUCCAUUUGAGAGAAAAGAGCCAUUUUAUCAAAGGACAAUAUAGCCCUUCUCUGGGUCCACGUAGCUUCCAUUAUCAGACCAUAAUAAAUCAUAUUUAUGUUCCCAGUUAAUAAGACUGAUUACAACACAGGUUCCAGACAUGGGAAAAGCAAAGCAGGUGAAAAGAUGUUUUAAUGAAAAUAUGAUAAGAAAACAGCUUCUUGUGAACAUUCUGUGCUAUUAUUUGUAAUGAUUACAGACAAUUUUUGAUGCAUCUUGUUUAGCAAUGGUUUAAGCUGCAUAAAUUGGCUCACUGGUAGAUAAGUAAAAAUGAUAAGAAAAAAUCAUGAAAUCUUCUUAUGUUGUCUAGAAUCAUUAUGUACAUAACAAGGGCAAAAUGGGUUUAAUGUAUAUGCUGGGGAUGGAGGGGAAACAGGCUUCUCAGAAAAGCAUGGCUUGGGUAUUAUUUGAAAUGAUUUAGAAAUUUUCUCCUCAUCUUGCUUAUUAAAGAUGUGUUCUCCCUGAAAUUUGGGGGUGCUAGGCAUUAAUUUCAUCUUUGUAAAUGAAUCUACAGCUCUACUUCUUUUAUCCAAUCUCAAAGUUGUUGUUUUUUUUUCUUGCUUUCUUUUUUUCCCUUCUUGGACCUCAGUACAAAGAGACAAAGAGAUAUAUAUUUCCUACUCAAUGUUUGUGCACACUUGCCAUUAGUGCUAAUGGGAAUUAAGUGCCUGCUUGGGAGGAAAACAGACCCCAAAGUUUAAUAUUGGAAGCUACCUUAUUAAGAAGGUCUGGACAUUUUUAGCUUCAGUGAGUUCAAUUACAUUAAAGUACCAACUUUCUAAAUUAGUACAAAAAAAAGAAAAAAUCAUAUAAAAUAUUGAAAUAGCUUCAGCCUUUAACUGUAUAAAACAGAAGAAGAGCAUCUGAAGGCGAGGACUCAGGGUGUGUCGUAUGGCUUGUUUGUUCAUAUUAAUUUACCAGUUUGAUAGUGUAACACAUAACAAUUUCAGGUUAGCACCCAGCACUUGGAGUAAUUCUUUCCACUGUUCGUUUGUGGCUUUGAUGAGAAUUUUGUUGUCCUUGGCUUUGGGGUUUCUAAAAAGGCAAAUGAAGCUUCCUGGAGUCCAUGUUAUUCUGAGAGUGGCAAUCUGAAAUUUUAGAUUAGCACAAUUCAGAUUCAGCAAGUGGUUGGGAUAUUUUAUUUAUUUUGGAUGGGGAGUGCAGGGGUGGUUGGUAUCUUUCUCACAUAUACAUGUAGGCCUCACAGUGUGCACCUGUGAGGGAUUCCUUAAUAAUCUGCCCGUGGAAUAACCAUUGUUAUGAACUGAAGAAGAGAGUAUUCUCCAUAAUACAAUUGUCAUGGCUGUACUGCUAGAAAGGCACAGGGAUGGCAUUGCAAACCCUUCUUGCCAAAAGAAAACACCACUCAAUAUCUCCCAGACAAUUUUGCUCAGAGAUUCUUGGAUUCUACUUUUUCUAAGGCAGUUUGCACUAAAGUUAAAUAUUGGGAGAGUGGAUGAGAUUCAGUCCCCUCCUCCUAGAUCAUUGCUUUCUUUGUUGGCAAUUUCUCUUUGUUCUAUUUUAACAUGAAUAAAAGAGGGGAAGGGCGAUUGGCCCCACGUCAUUCACAUUGUCUGUUUUCCAUGGAAAUAACUGUCAGGACUUCUACUGCAUCUUCCUUUGCUUUUUAGCUUGCGCUCCAUUUUUCUUUUCAUAGGUUGACCAAAAAAUAUUGCCUGCAAGAGAAUUCCGUAAUGCCACCAUAUAUCUAAUAUCUAUGAGGCGUUUUGUUUUAGCGUUACUGGACUUAACCACAAAAGGCAUUUGACAUUGAUAAAGAAUCUGUCAAGUCUACCCUGAUCAGUGCACUGAAAUCACUCAUGACAGGGAAGACACCAACUCCCCAAAGCAGUGGUAGAUUAGGGGAAAAAUGAUCAGAAGCUUUGUCAUUGUGAAGCCAUCUCAUGUUGGACCCUACACUGAGCCAAAUGUGUUUUACUUGUCACACUCCAUUAGCAUGUGUGAAACAGUUGGGAAAAUGGCCAUAUGAUUAGACAGAAGGAAACCCAAAUUCUUCAUAUCGGGACUUGUUACCACUGAAUAAUGUCUUUGCAGGAGGGAUUGGUUUAGAUUUUGUUAAUUUCUUGUGUGAUGAAAAAUAAAUGGCAUUUAUGGAUAGACUCUACAAAAGUUGACCACAAACAGUCCCUCUAAAUCUCCCCUGUGUUAAACAUUUAUAAAAGAAGAUGUGUUGAAAUCCACAAUUUUACUGGCAAAACGGUCACUGAUAUCAGACUCCUAAAAUUUGCUCCCUCAACACCUCCUCACCAUGGGCACCAGGAGAUUACAUUUGCCCAGAGCUGAGCAUCUUUCUAUGGCUAAGAAAAAGCAGAGGACUGGUGUCAGAUGAGGACUUCCCUCUGGAGUAAUUCUUACCUGAACAAAAUCCGAAUUUAUGUAGAUAUUUUCUGCUAAAAAAUUGUUGUUGUUGCUUUGUUUGUGUUGAGAGAGAAUGUCAGUGAAAAGAUGACUUUAAGGAUGAGAAGAUAAGAAAGACUUGGAUACAAAGGAAAUUCCAGUAAUGCUUAAAACACCAUGACCUCAGCACUGUAAGGAAAGGACAGAGUAGGCGGUAUUUUCCUCUUGGGGCCAAUCUGUUGAAAACUCACAUAGAAUGAAAGAAAAUCUAUUAUGGGAAAGAAAGAU